This 500-nucleotide ribosomal RNA is filed under the name uncultured bacterium. Its description in RNAcentral is "partial 16S ribosomal RNA". It matches the Rfam family "Bacterial small subunit ribosomal RNA", at positions 29 to 523 of the family's 1533-position model. The record is from RNAcentral.
AUUGAACGCUGGCGGCAUGCUUUACACAUGCAAGUCGAACGGCAGCGCGGGGGCAACCCUGGCGGCGAGUGGCGAACGGGUGGGUAAUGUAUCGGAACGUACCCAGUCGUGGGGGAUAACGUAGCGAAAGCUACGCUAAUACCGCAUACGAUCUAUGGAUGAAAGCGGGGGACCGUAAGGCCUCGUGCGAUUGGAGCGGCCGAUAGCAGAUUAGGUAGUUGGUGGGGUAAAGGCCCACCAAGCCGACGAUCUGUAGCUGGUCUGAGAGGACGACCAGCCACACUGGGACUGAGACACGGCCCAGACUCCUACGGGAGGCAGCAGUGGGGAAUUUUGGACAAUGGGCGCAAGCCUGAUCCAGCAAUGCCGCGUGCAGGAUGAAGGCCUUCGGGUUGUAAACUGCUUUUGUACGGAGCGAAAAGGCUCUCUCUAAUACAGGGGGCUCAUGACGGUACCGUAAGAAUAAGCACCGGCUAACUACGUGCCAGCAGCCGCGGUAA